RNAcentral lists this ribosomal RNA (376 nucleotides) under uncultured eukaryote. Its description in RNAcentral is "partial 18S ribosomal RNA". It matches the Rfam family "Eukaryotic small subunit ribosomal RNA", at positions 592 to 976 of the family's 1831-position model. The record is from RNAcentral.
CAAUAGCGUAUAUUAAAGUUGUUGCGGUUAAAAAGCUCGUAGUUGGAUUUCAGGCAAGGUUGACCUGCUUCCUUUUUGGGGGUACUGGGUCAGCCGAGGCAACACUUGGUGUACAAUAGGAUACUUAGCUGUAUCGUUUGGAUUCCAGGGCAUUUACUUUGAGGAAAUUAGAGUGUUUCAAGCAGGCCUUUGCCUUGAAUACAUUAGCAUGGAAUAAUAAUGUAGGACUUCUGUCCUAUUUCGUUGGUUCUUUGGACUGAAGUAAUAUUUAAUAGGGAUAGUCGGGGGCAUUCGUACUUAACUGUCAGAGGUGGAAUUCUUGGAUUUGUUAAAGACGGACUACUGCGAAAGCAUUUGCCAAGGAUGUUUUCUUUGA